Molecule: long non-coding RNA, 759 nt
Filed under: Equus caballus (horse)
Lineage: Eukaryota; Metazoa; Chordata; Mammalia; Perissodactyla; Equidae
Description: lncRNA (ENSECAG00000052950.1)
Source: RNAcentral
UAACAAACUCUGAAUAAAUAGACUUUGCUUAUUCUCAUUUGGAUAGUCUUUGUCUAUUUCCACACUUCUAUGCACCCAGCAUUGUUCUGGGUGCUGGAAAUAAUAUUGAACAAGGCAGGAAAAUAUCUCUGCCCUUAUGGGGCUAAUAUACUUUUGGGAGAGACAGACAAUAAGCAAGGAGAGAAAUUAAGUAAGCAUUAUGAUAAUAAACUACUAUGAAGGAAAUAAGACAGGAUGAUGUAAUUGAUUGGGGGUGGAUACUGUUAUACUGAAUAACGAAGAAAAACUUCCUUGAGGAGGCGACAUUUCAGUUGAAAGCUAAGAGGUAAAGAAGAGCCAGUCUUGUGAAUUGCUGGGGGAAGAGACUCCAGGUUGAAGGAAAGGUCUGAGAUUCUCAAAACAUGGAACAAGGAAUAAUAGUGUUAUAUCAAGAAGCUUUAGAUGGUAAAUAGACAUGGCAUCAAACAGUGCUGAAACGUGCUAGCUGCCAUGUUGUGAGAAGAGGCUCAAAUGGUGAGGAUCUGAGGCACCUGUCCAACAUCCAUUGAGGAACUGAAGCAUCUUGCCAGGCGCCAUGUGAGUGAGCUUGGAAGCAUUUCCUCCCACCCCAGCCAAGUCUUCGGAUGACUGCUGCCCCAGCCAACAUCUGGACCAUAAUCUCAUCAGAGACCCUGAGCCAGAACCAUCCAGCUGAGCUGCUACCAAAUUCUUGAUCCACAGGGAGUGUGAGGAGAAUAAAUGUUUGUUAUUUUAAGCCAC